This 71-nucleotide transfer RNA is filed under the name Solirubrobacterales bacterium. RNAcentral describes it as "tRNA-Gln". It matches the Rfam family "tRNA". Rfam says of the family: Transfer RNA (tRNA) molecules are approximately 80 nucleotides in length. Their secondary structure includes four short double-helical elements and three loops (D, anti-codon, and T loops). The record is from RNAcentral. RNAcentral also lists the same sequence under 1 other name. Lineage: Bacteria; Bacillati; Actinomycetota; Thermoleophilia; Solirubrobacterales.
UGGGGGGUGGUGUAACGGCAGCACGACGGCCUUUGGAGCCGCAGGUCGGGGUUCGAAUCCCUGCCCCCCAG